GGACCCGCACAAGCGGUGGAGCAUGUGGUUUAAUUCGAAGCAACGCGAAGAACCUUACCUGGUCUUGACAUCCCGCUGACCGUUCUUUAACAGGAACUUCCCUUCGGGGCAGCGGUGACAGGUGGUGCAUGGUUGUCGUCAGCUCGUGUCGUGAGAUGUUGGGUUAAGUCCCGCAACGAGCGCAACCCUUAUCUUUAGUAGCCAGCAGUUCGGCUGGGCACUCUAGAGAGACUGCCAGGGAUAACCUGGAGGAAGGUGGGGAUGACGUCAAAUCAUCAUGCCCCUUAUGAUCAGGGCUACACACGUGCUACAAUGGCGUAAACAAAGAGAAGCAAUCCUGCGAGGGGGAGCAAAUCUCAAAAAUAACGUCUCAGUUCGGAUUGUAGUCUGCAACUCGACUACAUGAAGCUGGAAUCGCUAGUAAUCGCGAAUCAGAAUGUCGCGGUGAAUACGUUCCCGGGUCUU
RNAcentral lists this ribosomal RNA (465 nucleotides) under uncultured bacterium. RNAcentral's name for it is "bacterial SSU rRNA". It matches the Rfam family "Bacterial small subunit ribosomal RNA", at positions 917 to 1382 of the family's 1533-position model. The record is from RNAcentral.